UACGUAGGGGGCAAGCGUUAUCCGGAUUUACUGGGUGUAAAGGGAGCGUAGACGGCGAUGCAAGCCAGAUGUGAAAGCCCGGGGCUCAACCCCGGGACUGCAUUUGGAACUGUAUAGCUAGAGUGUCGGAGAGGCAGGCGGAAUUCCUAGUGUAGCGGUGGAAUGCGUAGAUAUUAGGAGGAACACCAGUGGCGAAGGCGGCCUGCUGGACGAUGACUGACGUUGAGGCUCGAAAGCGUGGGGAGCAAACAGG
This 253-nucleotide ribosomal RNA is filed under the name uncultured bacterium. RNAcentral's name for it is "partial 16S ribosomal RNA". It matches the Rfam family "Bacterial small subunit ribosomal RNA", at positions 524 to 776 of the family's 1533-position model. The record is from RNAcentral.